RNAcentral lists this non-coding RNA (45 nucleotides) under Schistosoma mansoni. Lineage: Eukaryota; Metazoa; Platyhelminthes; Trematoda; Strigeidida; Schistosomatidae. The record is from RNAcentral.
AUCCAGCUGACGAGUCCCAUAUACGACGAAACGCGCGUCCUGGAU